This 253-nucleotide ribosomal RNA is filed under the name uncultured bacterium. RNAcentral's name for it is "partial 16S ribosomal RNA". It matches the Rfam family "Bacterial small subunit ribosomal RNA", at positions 524 to 776 of the family's 1533-position model. The record is from RNAcentral.
GACGAACCGUGCGAACGUUGUUCGGAUUCACUGGGCUUAAAGGGCGCGUAGGCGGGUCGGUCCGUCUGGGGUGAAAUCCUCUCGCUUAACGAGAGAACGGCCCUGGAUACCACCGAUCUCGAGGGAGGUAGGGGCAUGUGGAACUUCCGGUGGAGCGGUGAAAUGCGUAGAUAUCGGAAGGAACGCCGGUGGCGAAAGCGAUCCGCUGGACCUCUUCUGACACUGAGGCGCGAAAGCCAGGGGAGCAAACGGG